Molecule: long non-coding RNA, 2429 nt
Filed under: Vitis vinifera (wine grape)
Lineage: Eukaryota; Viridiplantae; Streptophyta; Magnoliopsida; Vitales; Vitaceae
Description: long non-coding RNA (VVIN_LNC008068)
Source: RNAcentral
AAAAAAAAAAAAAGGAAAUCUUAUGUUUUGAUUACAUUUCUCUCUCUCUUCACUUACUCACCACUCAAACCCGAGAACCAUCUGAAAUUUCUUACUUUCUCAAAAAUUCUUUCUCUCAUUUUGCUUUAACCCCUCAAAAUUUUCUCCAGAAACCUCAAAGCCAAACCCUAAUGGUUUGUUUUCUUCUUAUUCAUAGUUACCCAAAACAAACUGGAAAAACCCUAACCUUUGCCUUGUUUUCCUCUCAUCUUGGAACCCUCAAAACCCUAACUUUUGCCUCGUUUUCCUUUCAUCCUGAAAACCCAAAUCCCGUGAUGUUAACCUCUUCAUUUCCCAUAAACCCUCCAGAAUCACAAAAUUCAUGUAACUGAAAUGGAGAAAAUUGUUAACUCACAACUUCACGGUGUAGAUUCAGGGACAUGGGGAGUUGUAGGUGCUCCAUCGUUAUCUCUCUAAGGCUCUAGUUGUUAGUCUCUCUCUUCGUCGCCAUCAACAGGUGAAUAUCUUUUUCCGUAGCUAUUCUGAUCAUGCUUGUAUCAUUCAUUUUGUGAUUUUGUUUUGUUGUUGUUAUUUAUUUUUUUUUUUGGUUUUUUUUUUAUAUGUUGAUGAAAUUGGAUGUAGUUGGAUAAUGACAGGUGGAGUGUGUUAAUGAUGUGUCGCUAGUUAUUCGAUGGAUGAGGUAGGAAGGGAAAAAGGGGGAGAAAUUUGGCAUUUCUGAUUUUGGAUUUAUUAUUGAAAAAUUAGGGCUUAAUAAAUUAACAGAAUGUUUUUUUUUUUUUUGUGUGGAUGGUUAUUCUUUUUUGCAUUCUUAUUGUUUAUUUUGGAUUAUGCUUAAUUGAAGCCAUGGAUUGUUAGAACUUCUGGUUAUUACUAAUUUUUUUUAGUUAAUUUUCUGAUACAAUGAUUCAUGCACUGUUAUUUAAGCUUGGUGAAUGGGUUUAUAUGGCCUUGGAUCUUCCACCGUGCUCAUUCUCAUAUAUUUUUAAUAGGAAUCUGGGACCAUGCUAUUUGAUUUGCUUAUUUUCUUGAUUUUUAUGGAUGAUUCACAAUAUGUAGUUACUAGAGGCGAUGAGAUGCCUAAAACUAUUUUUUGAAGGAUGCUAGAGUGGUUUUGCCAAAUUUAUGAUGUCAGUAGAUAUUUAGGAUGCUACUCUUUUAAGGCUUCAAGCAUACUUAAUAAAUUCAUGCUUCAAUUUGCUAAGUGAGAAGAAAAACAUUUGUUAAGAAAAAGUUUAAACUUUUGCAGCGUUUUUCAUCUGAUAAAUUGUUAAGAAAAUAAAUGAAAAGGUUAUGGUUGAAUUAGCUAUUGUAUGCAAUGACAAAUGUUUUUUUUUUUUUUUAAAAAAAAAAACUUUUAAGUUUUCAAUUUAGAUUAUCCGUUAUUUAUAUGAAUCAAUAUUUGAUAUUGUCUUUUAUUUAUCCAUGAUAUUGUUUUCUUGUAGGAAAAUAAGCACAUAUUUUGUCUUUGAAUUUGCCUUUGCAAGUUUCUGAGUUCUCUAUUGUUUUACCUUUGUUUUCUUACUAACCAAGCAAAUAUUUCUAAUUUAUUUUUAAAUUCUGAUACACAUUCUCUUUAAUUGCAUGCAUCCAUAUUUGGCAUUUUCUUUUAUUUACCCAUUGAAUUAUCUAAUGCAAGUUUCAAAUUUGAUUUUCCUGUUCCUGGAUAUCUCAGCAACCAAAAGGUUUUAUUUUCUUUAAGUUCUCAUUCUCCCUACAUGCAUGACAUGGCAUGGAAUUCUUUUAUCAUUUUUCCUGACUUUUCCAAUUUUUUCUAUCAUGCAUUCUCAUAUUUUUUGUGUUCUUUAUUGCUUUAGUGAAAUCUCAUUUAGAUUGAAUGAUUAAUUGUUUAGGGUGUUUGAAGUUCUAAUUUCAUGAUAUAAUGAUAUCUUUAUAUUUUUUUCUUUAGAUAUAUAUAUAUAUAUAUAUAUAUAUAUAUAUAACAACAUUGAGAGGAACAUUACUUGAAUUAUCACAUUUUCAAAAUGGUAGGGAUUCAAAGAAAAUGAUAGAAGGUAUUUGAUUUUCUUCAUAUACUUUUAUGAUAACUGUUGUUGUCUUUUCAGUUUUAUGUUGAAUAUCUGUGAUAAACAAUGAUUGUGAUUUAUAGUAUACUAACUUGUAAUAACAAUUUUGUGGGGAACUAUUACUAAUACUGCAAAUUCCAUUCUGAAACUAGAGGAGGCAUAAGUAAUAAAUCCCAUACAACAUGAAGCAUUAUGGUGCCAAGGAAAUGGCCUCACUAAUCAAGCAAUGAUGUUCUUGUGACCUGGUUGAGCUUUCUAUGACUCCAUUUUUGGACACUUUUUUUUUUGUUGCUCAUUUGAUAGCCUUUGAUCUAAUUAAUUUAAAAUUUCAUUUUAAUUACUAGUGAAUUCAUUAUUGAUCAUAUGUUGUUAGGCGUCAAAGAUGUAUGAGGACAUCCAUACUAA